AUGCACAUAUUGUGAGCUCGAUGAGUAGGGCGGGACACGUGGUAUCCUGUCUGAAUAUGGGGGGACCAUCCUCCAAGGCUAAAUACUCCUGACUGACCGAUAGUGAACCAGUACCGUGAGGGAAAGGCGAAAAGAACCCCGGCGAGGGGAGUGAAAAAGAACCUGAAACCGUGUACGUACAAGCAGUGGGAGCACGCUUAGGCGUGUGACUGCGUACCUUUUGUAUAAUGGGUCAGCGACUUAUAUUCUGUAGCAAGGUUAACCGAAUAGGGGAGCCGAAGGGAAACCGAGUCUUAACUGGGCGUUAAGUUGCAGGGUAUAGACCCGAAACCCGGUGAUCUAGCCAUGGGCAGGUUGAAGGUUGGGUAACACUAACUGGAGGACCGAACCGACUAAUGUUGAAAAAUUAGCGGAUGACUUGUGGCUGGGGGUGAAAGGCCAAUCAAACCGGGAGAUAGCUGGUUCUCCCCGAAAGCUAUUUAGGUAGCGCCUCGUGAAUUCAUCUCCGGGGGUAGAGCACUGUUUCGGCAAGGGGGUCAUCCCGACUUACCAACCCGAUGCAAACUGCGAAUACCGGAGAAUGUUAUCACGGGAGACACACGGCGGGUGCUAACGUCCGUCGUGAAGAGGGAAACAACCCAGACCGCCAGCUAAGGUCCCAAAGUCAUGGUUAAGUGGGAAACGAUGUGGGAAGGCCCAGACAGCCAGGAUGUUGGCUUAGAAGCAGCCAUCAUUUAAAGAAAGCGUAAUAGCUCACUGGUCGAGUCGGCCUGCGCGGAAGAUGUAACGGGGCUAAACCAUGCACCGAAGCUGCGGCAGCGACGCUUAUGCGUUGUUGGGUAGGGGAGCGUUCUGUAAGCCUGUGAAGGUGUGCUGUGAGGCAUGCUGGAGGUAUCAGAAGUGCGAAUGCUGACAUAAGUAACGAUAAAGCGGGUGAAAAGCCCGCUCGCCGGAAGACCAAGGGUUCCUGUCCAACGUUAAUCGGGGCAGGGUGAGUCGACCCCUAAGGCGAGGCCGAAAGGCGUAGUCGAUGGGAAACAGGUUAAUAUUCCUGUACUUGGUGUUACUGCGAAGGGGGGACGGAGAAGGCUAUGUUGGCCGGGCGACGGUUGUCCCGGUUUAAGCGUGUAGGCUGGUUUUCCAGGCAAAUCCGGAAAAUCAAGGCUGAGGCGUGAUGACGAGGCACUACGGUGCUGAAGCAACAAAUGCCCUGCUUCCAGGAAAAGCCUCUAAGCAUCAGGUAACAUCAAAUCGUACCCCAAACCGACACAGGUGGUCAGGUAGAGAAUACCAAGGCGCUUGAGAGAACUCGGGUGAAGGAACUAGGCAAAAUGGUGCCGUAACUUCGGGAGAAGGCACGCUGAUAUGUAGGUGAAGCGACUUGCUCGUGGAGCUGAAAUCAGUCGAAGAUACCAGCUGGCUGCAACUGUUUAUUAAAAACACAGCACUGUGCAAACACGAAAGUGGACGUAUACGGUGUGACGCCUGCCCGGUGCCGGAAGGUUAAUUGAUGGGGUCAGCGCAAGCGAAGCUCUUGAUCGAAGCCCCGGUAAACGGCGGCCGUAACUAUAACGGUCCUAAGGUAGCGAAAUUCCUUGUCGGGUAAGUUCCGACCUGCACGAAUGGCGUAAUGAUGGCCAGGCUGUCUCCACCCGAGACUCAGUGAAAUUGAACUCGCUGUGAAGAUGCAGUGUACCCGCGGCAAGACGGAAAGACCCCGUGAACCUUUACUAUAGCUUGACACUGAACAUUGAGCCUUGAUGUGUAGGAUAGGUGGGAGGCUUAGAAGUGUGGACGCCAGUCUGCAUGGAGCCGGCCUUGAAAUACCACCCUUUAAUGUUUGAUGUUCUAACGU
RNAcentral lists this ribosomal RNA (1855 nucleotides) under Escherichia coli. RNAcentral's name for it is "partial 23S ribosomal RNA". It matches the Rfam family "Bacterial large subunit ribosomal RNA", at positions 388 to 2228 of the family's 2925-position model. The record is from RNAcentral. Lineage: Bacteria; Pseudomonadati; Pseudomonadota; Gammaproteobacteria; Enterobacterales; Enterobacteriaceae.